GUGGGGAAUCUUCCGCAAUGGACGAAAGUCUGACGGAGCAACGCCGCGUGAGUGAUGAAGGUCUUCGGAUUGUAAAGCUCUGUUAAUCGGGACGAAAGAGCCUAGUGUGAAUAAUGCUAGGAAGUGACGGUACCGGAAUAGAAAGCCACGGCUAACUACGUGCCAGCAGCCGCGGUAAUACGUAGGUGGCAAGCGUUGUCCGGAAUUAUUGGGCGUAAAGCGCGCGCAGGCGGAUCUGCCAGUCUGUCUUAAAAGUUCGGGGCUUAACCCCGUGAUGGGAUGGAAACUACAGAUCUAGAGUAUCGGAGAGGAAAGUGGAAUUCCUAGUGUAGCGGUGAAAUGCGUAGAUAUUAGGAAGAACACCAGUGGCGAAGGCGACUACCUGGACUGAUACUGACACUGAGGUGCGAAAGCGUGGGGAGCAAACAGGAUUAGAAACCCGUGUAGUCC
This 450-nucleotide ribosomal RNA is filed under the name uncultured bacterium. RNAcentral describes it as "partial 16S ribosomal RNA". It matches the Rfam family "Bacterial small subunit ribosomal RNA", at positions 354 to 796 of the family's 1533-position model. The record is from RNAcentral.